RNAcentral lists this ribosomal RNA (816 nucleotides) under uncultured bacterium. RNAcentral describes it as "bacterial SSU rRNA". It matches the Rfam family "Bacterial small subunit ribosomal RNA", at positions 8 to 796 of the family's 1533-position model. The record is from RNAcentral.
AGAGUUUGAUCCUGGCUCAGAAUGAACGCUGGCGGCGUGCUUAACACAUGCAAGUCGCACGAGAAAGCCUUGGCUUGCCAGGGCGAGUAAAGUGGCGCACGGGUGAGUAACGCGUGGGUAAUCUACCCUCGAAUUUGGGAUAACAGCUCGAAAGGGUUGCUAAUACCGGAUAACAUCAUAGUUUCUUCGGCGAUUAUGAUCAAAGGUGGCCUCUACAUGUAAGCUACUGUUUGGGGAUGAGCCCGCGUACCAUUAGCUAGUUGGUAGGGUAAAGGCCUACCAAGGCAACGAUGGUUAGCUGGUCUGAGAGGAUGAUCAGCCACACUGGAACUGACACACGGUCCAGACUCCUACGGGAGGCAGCAGUGAGGAAUUUUGCGCAAUGGGGGAAACCCUGACGCAGCAACGCCGCGUGAGUGAUGAAGGCCUUCGGGUCGUAAAACUCUGUCAAGUGGGAAGAAACUACAAAAGGUUAAUACCCUUAUGUAUUGACGGUACCACUGAAGGAAGCACCGGCUAACUCCGUGCCAGCAGCCGCGGUAAUACGGAGGGUGCAAGCGUUAUUCGGAUUUAUUGGGCGUAAAGGGCGCGUAGGCGGUUUUGUAAGUCAGGUGUGAAAUCCCGGGGCUCAACCCCGGAAGUGCAUUUGAUACUGCAAGACUUGAGUAUGGGAGGGGGAAGUGGAAUUCCUGGUGUAGAGGUGAAAUUCGUAGAUAUCAGGAGGAACACCAGUGGCGAAGGCGACUUCCUGGACCAAUACUGACGCUGAUGCGCGAAGGCGUGGGGAGCAAACAGGAUUAGAUACCCUGGUAGUCC